This 193-nucleotide ribosomal RNA is filed under the name uncultured Thauera sp. RNAcentral's name for it is "partial 16S ribosomal RNA". It matches the Rfam family "Bacterial small subunit ribosomal RNA", at positions 340 to 525 of the family's 1533-position model. Lineage: Bacteria; Pseudomonadati; Pseudomonadota; Betaproteobacteria; Rhodocyclales; Zoogloeaceae. The record is from RNAcentral.
UACGGGAGGCAGCAGUGGGGAAUAUUGGACAAUGGGGGCAACCCUGAUCCAGCCAUGCCGCGUGAGUGAAGAAGGCCUUCGGGUUGUAAAGCUCUUUCGGCCGGGAAGAAACGGGGUUCUCUAACAUAGGACAUGGAUGACGGUACCGGACUAAGAAGCACCGGCUAACUACGUGCCAGCAGCCGCGGUAAUA